This is a long non-coding RNA of Daphnia pulex (common water flea), 2792 nucleotides long. RefSeq lists it as uncharacterized. The transcript is spliced from 4 exons. The record is from RefSeq and is a predicted model, not a curated record. Lineage: Eukaryota; Metazoa; Arthropoda; Branchiopoda; Diplostraca; Daphniidae.
UUCGCUUUGUUAGAAACUUUUUGAAAGUUGCGAAAAAGAGACGAAGUUUGAAGAUGAAUAAAGAAAAGUGAACGAUGACUUUUUUCAAAAACGUACGUACGUUAGUGUACGAAUAACAUUACAAAAAUGUGAUCGUCAUGUGUGUCAACUCUGGUGUCGCAGUCCUGCAUGCUCUCCAACAGUCCAACUCUCUAUGCUGUUUGGCGGAUUUGUGGCCUGAUGUCAUCGUAACAACAAAUUAUGCAACUUGUGCUUGUGCUGCUGGUAUGGACCUGUCAUCGGCAACAAUCUCACCAUCAUCACUUGGGUAAACAGCAUCAUCCAGUUUGAAUGGGGAAACUCUGUUCUCGUGUAUGCCCAUGUGAGUGUGGGUGUAUUCACGAGGACAUCCUUUUUCCGUCCUUCAACUUUUCUGCGGAUGACGCACUUGUGGAUGUGGAUGCCUGGCCGUUUUUCCCAGGCUUAAAGAGAGUAAAUGUUGCCACGGAUGAUUUAUCGUCGACGGCCUGCGCUGACGACUCCCUUGUGUGGCACAACCAGACAGCAGACAGACAACUCUGGCCCGCCGAGCCCCCCCAAAAAAAGAAAACGAGAAGAAGACGGACAAGGCCGGGCAGAAUGACAGACAGUUGGUCCGCAUUUAUUCGGCUGGCCCAUUUUUGUUGGUAACUUGGGGAUGAUGAUGUAAAAGGAGCAAUAAAGGGAAACCAAAAAACCCAUGCCAUCGCGACGCAACGAUUCCAUUCGCGGUGGUUUGCCGUUGGCUCUCAUCCACAAGUGCCAGCUAGCAGCUACGAGUGGUGCUGUAGUCGAUUUCCUAUGAAAUGCACUUAAUGCUCCUUAUCUUUCGCCUUAUUUUGACACGGAGAUCUUAUACACGCCCUCCUUUACUAUCAUCAGAUACAUAUGACGUCUUGUAGCUUGGCUCCUCCUCCAAGUUGAAUUGUUAUCUUACCCUCCAGUUACUCCCCUCGUUCUGUUAAUGUUUAUGUUGUGUCAUAUUGUACAUUGACACUUGUGCCGAUUCUCUCGUAUGUCUCUGCAUACCAGUGGGUAUUGUUCGACAAAUUCCAUUUGCCACAGCGAAUACGUAGGCGUCGCUGGUAUCGUCUGCUGCGAUGAGUACGAGUGCUAAAACCUGGGCGCUAUAAAUCAUUCACUCGAUACUCCUACAGAUUGUAAAUAGGCCAAACACAUCCAGUUGAGGAGCUUUUUACGAAGGAUUUUAUAAGGUCGUCGAACACGAAUUCAGAGCGGGAAUGCAUAUAGAGAUCUUUGAGCGACUAUAGUAGAUAUUGAAUAAAUGAAUCGAGCUCGCGCGUGGACGUGUCUUCUUUUGAGGACGAAACGUGUAAUGGAGAUGGAUCUAUCGGCAAAAAGAAAAGUGUGGGAAGUAUUUAUAAACGACACGCGGAGAAACGACAAGUGACGGGAAAAUGGAGGCUAUGCACCAGCGCCAGGGGGAAAUUGGAAAAUCUCGUCUUCCGUAACACACAGACACCAAAAUCGUGUCACCCCAUUUUCUGAUGCAUAUUUUCUGUUGAUAUUUUGUCGUCGUUUCUUUUCUGAUUUACCCCCCACGACUUCCUCCUCCCCACCUAUCCGCCCGUCGCACAUAGUCGUUCACCCGUUCUCUCAUUUCAUUAGCUUUGAUUGAAUCCUUCCCCUUUUUUUCGGUCACGCCUCUUGUAUCCAUCACGAUGGUGCGGAUGGAACCAGGGUCAGUCAGAGAGGUUAGAGAAGAGUCGUGAACGGCAGAAAUUGGAAGGGUGGAAGAUUUCUGCUGGGGUUUUGAAUGUCUGUGCCGCCGUUGGAGUAAAUCGACUUUCUUAUAUAGACAGUCCAUAAUAUCCAAUAAGAAUUCCUAUCCGAUUCGACGCCAGGUUCGUCUAUCCGUGUCGCAUGAUGCCCAGCAAAGUUCCCCCGCGGUUUUCUUUUCUCUUAUAAACUUUCUCGGUUCUGGACGACCCAACUUUGUUCAUUCGUCAUGCGUGACGGCGUCCCAUCUCCGUGAUGUCUUUGACGACGCAAUCAAAAGGCAUCGCGCAGUAAUGAUCAUCAAGGGCCAGCUCAUAUAUAUAUAGAACGCGGCGAAUUCGCUUGGAUAUCAAAUCGAUUUCCCCCUUUUUUUUUUCUUCUCCCGCUCGUUUCGCAGGAAAAACGCGCAGAUGUAAUAAUUUGAAACUUGUAUAGUGUACAUUUUGAUCACAUCACUCCCGAAAUCCACUAUAGAUUUUCUUCUUUUUUUCUAGCUAGACGCGAAAAAAAAAAAGAAACUUGGCUCUUCUCCGCUCUGUCUAAAUCUAUAGAGAAAUUCGGUCACACUCACUUCCAUCAGUCUCUACUAUAUAUAUAAGAGUGUUUACCGAAACCUAAUAGAAAAUGUGUGCUGGUUUCCCGUUGGCCUGUUCUUCCUUCUUUCUUUUCAUCUUCGUUUUUUUUUUUUCGUUCGUUCGUUCGUCCCCAAUUUUUUUCUGUUUCUUUAUUUGAUUUCCUCUUCAAUCUCUUUCUCACAUUCUCAUCUCCAGCUUCGGCUUCGACAUCAUCAGCAAUCGCCUAUAUAGAUGCGACGGUGUUUGUGUGUGUUCUUCUUCUUCUUCUUCUUUUUCCUUGAAGUGUUAUUGUAUGAAAUGAACGUGCCGCCAAGUCAAUAAAGGCGAUAUAUACCCGUAUAGCUCGUCUACACUCUCGCCCCUGCAGAAAAUAUAUCCUUCCUUCCUCCAAAAGUCCAAAGCCCACGGCAAAUGCGUUCCCUAUCGGCCUCAUUUUGAUGGUUUCUAUAGUCAGGCAAA